UGGGGAAUUUUGGACAAUGGGCGAAAGCCUGAUCCAGCAAUGCCGCGUGUGUGAAGAAGGCCUUCGGGUUGUAAAGCACUUUUGUCCGGAAAGAAAUCCUUGGCUCUAAUACAGUCGGGGGAUGACGGUACCGGAAGAAUAAGCACCGGCUAACUACGUGCCAGCAGCCGCGGUAAUACGUAGGGUGCAAGCGUUAAUCGGAAUUACUGGGCGUAAAGCGUGCGCAGGCGGUUUGCUAAGACCGAUGUGAAAUCCCCGGGCUCAACCUGGGAACUGCAUUGGUGGCUGGCAGGCUAGAGUAUGGCAGAGGGGGGUAGAAUUCCACGUGUAGCAGUGAAAUGCGUAGAGAUGUGGAGGAAUACCGAUGGCGAAGGCAGCCCCCUGGGCCAAUACUGACGCUCAUGCACGAAAAGCGUGGGGAGCAAAACAGGAUUAGAUACCCUGGUAGUCCACGCCCUAAACGAUGUCAAACUAGUUGUUGGGGAUUCAUUUUCCUUAGUAACGUAGCUAACGCGUGAAGUUGACCGCCUGGGGAGUACGGUCGCAAGAUUAAAAACUCAAAAUGAAAUUGACGGGGUCAUAGCUGUUUCCUG
This 593-nucleotide ribosomal RNA is filed under the name uncultured bacterium. RNAcentral describes it as "partial 16S ribosomal RNA". It matches the Rfam family "Bacterial small subunit ribosomal RNA", at positions 355 to 1376 of the family's 1533-position model. The record is from RNAcentral.